CCCGCGACUACUUUGUGUACCCGGGUGGCGCGCUUGGGUCCUCCGGCUCAGCUCGCCGUCCGGGCUGGUCCGAGCUAGCUCUUCGGCCCACUACUCUGCACCGCGGGCGCCAGGAAUUUCCCGAGUCCGAGCGGGUUGCUGCUUUUGCUAAGAGAACACCCAUGACUUUGAUGGUAUUUUCAUUCAAAAUAAAGUACUCGAUUGCCUUUAUUGAUUAACUGAACCAAUUCAGAUCUCUGGUAGACAUGGGAAGAUAUUUGCUGUGGAAGACCUCCUUACAGUCAAAUCUGGAAUCAGAUAACUGGGUUGAAAUUCCUGUCUGACACUUGUGAGCUGUUUGACACCACUCCCACUGCCUGUUACUUCACCUUUAAAUGCCCUGAUUUUCUUAUCUGUAAGACAUAUGUUGUUCCCUUUCCAGUAUUCUUUAUACCAUAAACAUUUUCUCUUGCAUAGUGGGAUUUUCUCAUUAAUUUUCUCAUAUGCUACUCAUGUAGACUAUUCUUUGUUUUUUUAAAAAGAAAGUUGUGAUUGAGAACAUAGGACUUUGGAAUCAGACUUAGAUGUGUUCUAUGAAAGCUUACUCCUUAAAGUUAUUUGUUAACAUGUGUCCAAGUUUUAUCUAACUAAUGAGGGAACAAUCAGGAAGACAAAGGAACUGCUUCCAAGAGUGUCUGAGCAUCAGGAGUUCAUAUAUUCAUUUAAGAAGGGGAUGCCAAGAUAAAAUUGCUAAGCUACAGAGAAGGACAAGGAAGCCCAUAUCACCUUUGGGGUUAUUCCUCAGAAAACUUGGAAUGUAAAAUGUUGAGUUAUAGCAUCAUGGUCUUUAUCGUUGUCUCCAGUAUCAUCAAACUGGAUUUCAUCCUCAUCUCCAGUACCAAAUGUAUGUUUCAUUGAUUUUAGCAUAUUUUGGAAGCUUGCCAUAUGCCUUAAGACUUACACCUUCAUCUGCAUUGUAUUUUAAAAUUACCUCAGCUUUGUUAUCUCCAUAGUCUGGCAGACCAACCAAAAUACCGUCUGAGGUAUUUAUUCAAACCGUUUUUCUAAGUUUUCCUUUGAUAGGACAUAACCACUUUACACCAUCAAAACUCAUUGCUUCUAAUCAUCCAUUUUCCAACAUUUGGUUACCUGAGCAUGCUCUUAUUCAUCCUCUGUACACAGCCACUUUGUUCAGAUUCAUUCUUAUUCAUGGCGCUGCACUGUUUUUACCACUUUUGCCUUUAUUCUUGGGCAUGGCAAUGCCUUGCCACAUCUCGGACUUCUUUCCUGUGGCGGUGGUGGCAGCUGCCCCUCUGAGUGGCGCACGGGAGGAAGUAACGUGUUGCGAAGUGGCACUGCAUACGCGCGGGAGAAUUUUGAGACUGAGCUUUUCCGAAAUGGACUCAGUGACAGUACAUUUCUUUUCUUCCCUCUUCCCUUUCCGUGUGUGUUAAUGAUAUUAAGGUUUUCUGGCAGGUCCAUAGUAGCCUUUACUCUUUUACUUGCAAUGAUUUUAAGGUUUUCUGGCAGGUCCAUAGCAACCUUUACUCUUGUACUUUC
This 1539-nucleotide long non-coding RNA is filed under the name Equus asinus (donkey). RNAcentral's name for it is "lncRNA (ENSEASG00005032906.1)". Lineage: Eukaryota; Metazoa; Chordata; Mammalia; Perissodactyla; Equidae. The record is from RNAcentral.